RNAcentral lists this long non-coding RNA (220 nucleotides) under Elaeis guineensis (African oil palm). Its description in RNAcentral is "long non-coding RNA (EGUI_LNC035218)". Lineage: Eukaryota; Viridiplantae; Streptophyta; Magnoliopsida; Arecales; Arecaceae. The record is from RNAcentral.
GCUGCAGUAGUGUGAAUAAUUGACCUGCGGUAGCUCAACUAUUCACAAUGAGAUUGCUGAAGUUUGAUUACACCAUAACUCAAUCUCCUAGUCAUAUAGAAUCUUGAGGUGUAUGUUGGCUACAGUAGGUUCAUUAUAGAAAUCUUGAGGUGUAUCUUGAGAUCUAUCGACCCUGAUAAUUAAAAAAAAAUCUUAUGAGGAUCAUGAAACUGAGUUUGAA